UAGUAACGGCGAGUGAAGCGGUAGAAGCUCAAAUUUGAAAUCUGGCUCUCUUGGGAGUCCGAGUUGUAAUUUGUAGAGGAUGCUUUUGGCGAGGUGCCUUCCGAGUUCCCUGGAACGGGACGCCUUAGAGGGUGAGAGCCCCGUACGGUUGGAUGCCGAGCCUCUGUAAAGCUCCUUCGACGAGUCGAGUAGUUUGGGAAUGCUGCUCUAAAUGGGAGGUAAAUUUCUUCUAAAGCUAAAUAUUGGCCAGAGACCGAUAGCGCACAAGUAGAGUGAUCGAAAGAUGAAAAGUACUUUGAAAAGAGGGUUAAAUAGUACGUGAAAUUGUUGAAAGGGAAGCGUUUAUGACCAGACUUUGUCGUGGUGGAUCAUCCGGUGGUUUCCACCGGUGCGCUCUACCGCGACGAGGCCAGCAUCGGUUUCCGCAGGGGGAUAAAAGCCUGGGGAACGUAGCUCCCUCGGGAGUGUUAUAGCCCCUCGCAUAAUACCCUUGCGGGGACCGAGGACCGCGUAUUUAUACAAGGAUGCUGGCAUAAUGGUUAUUAACGACCCGUCUUGAAACACGGACCAAGGAGUCGAACAUUUGUGCGAGUAUUUGGGUGUUAAACCCCUAUGCGCAAUGAAGGUGAACGGAGGUAAGAGCCCCGUACGGGGUGCAUUAUCGACCGAUCCAGAUGUUUUCGGAUGGAUUUGAGUAAGAGCAUAGAUGUUCGGACCCGAAAGAUGGUGAACUAUGCGUGGAUAGGGUGAAGCCAGAGGAAACUCUGGUGGAGGCUCGCAGCGGUUCUGACGUGCAAAUCGAUCGUCAAAUCUGCGCAUGGGGGCGAAAGACUUAUCGAACCAUCUAGUAGCUGGUUACCGCCGAAGUUUCCCUCAGGAUAGCAGUGUUGUUCUUCAGUUUUAUGAGGUAAAGCGAAUGAUUAGGGACUCGGGGGCGCUUUUUAGCCUUCAUCCAUUCUCAAACUUUAAAUAUGUAAGAAGCCCUUGUUACUUAAUUGAACGUGGGCAUUUGAAUGUACCAACACUAGUGGGCCAUUUUUGGUAAGCAGAACUGGCGAUGCGGGAUGAACCGAACGCGGGGUUAAGGUGCCGGAGUGGACGCUCAUCAGACCCCCCAAAAGGUGUUAGCCCUUUUGACAAUAGGACGGUGGCCUGGGAAGUCGGAAUCCGCUAAGGACUGUGUAACACUCACCUAU
Molecule: ribosomal RNA, 1196 nt
Filed under: Nemania bipapillata
Lineage: Eukaryota; Fungi; Ascomycota; Sordariomycetes; Xylariales; Xylariaceae
Description: partial large subunit ribosomal RNA
Rfam family: Eukaryotic large subunit ribosomal RNA
Source: RNAcentral